GGCACCUCCGAGGGGUGUCCUGUAUGGGCUGAGAUGGCGCAAGCCGAACCCUUUGAACCUGAUCUGGGUCAUGCCAGCGAAGGGACGGUCGGCAAUGACAGC
Molecule: non-coding RNA, 102 nt
Filed under: Beauveria bassiana
Lineage: Eukaryota; Fungi; Ascomycota; Sordariomycetes; Hypocreales; Cordycipitaceae
Also listed under: 1 other name
Description: TPP sequence
Rfam family: TPP riboswitch aptamer (THI element)
About the family: Vitamin B(1) in its active form thiamin pyrophosphate (TPP) is an essential coenzyme that is synthesised by coupling of pyrimidine and thiazole moieties in bacteria. The previously detected thiamin-regulatory element, thi box was extended, resulting in a new, highly conserved RNA secondary structure, the THI element, which is widely distributed in eubacteria and also occurs in some archaea.
Source: RNAcentral